UACCACGAUCCAGUCCAAGGGACCCGUCACAGAACACCCAAAGUGGCACUUCAAUCUCACCUGUGAUUACGCUGAUGAGCGAACAGUGACCGUCCUCUUCCUGCCCCCCCCACAACAUCUGCAUCAAAGCGUUCGGACACUCAGACCGUACAGUAAUGAAACGCAAACACGCGCAUCGCCACAGAGACUGGAUGCCUGCAGCGUUUGGUUCGUUUUUGUGUUUGCCUACCGUUACGCAGCGUCGUUCCCAGGUGGUAAAGUUAAGUGACAGAAGAGGAACGGACAAAAAAGAACCAUUUGCGUAAACUGUAAGUCAAAGCGUCUCCAGCGGCGGGACACCUGGUGGCGCGUUUGCAUCGGUGACGCACAGGGUCCGAGUGACUGAGCCGACCUGCAUGUACACACCACCUCCAUCUUCUUCAGCUCGAAGCCCCAGCGAACAAGAAUAAAGAUCGAUACUUGUGGCUAAGUUACAAAAAUGA
Long non-coding RNA from Brienomyrus brachyistius, 482 nucleotides. RefSeq lists it as uncharacterized. The transcript has 3 exons. NCBI's taxonomy places the organism in Eukaryota, Metazoa, Chordata, Actinopteri, Osteoglossiformes, Mormyridae. The record is from RefSeq and is a predicted model, not a curated record.